This 460-nucleotide ribosomal RNA is filed under the name uncultured bacterium. Its description in RNAcentral is "partial 16S ribosomal RNA". It matches the Rfam family "Bacterial small subunit ribosomal RNA", at positions 338 to 795 of the family's 1533-position model. The record is from RNAcentral.
CCUACGGGAGGCAGCAGUGAGGAAUAUUGGUCAAUGGGCGGAAGCCUGAACCAGCCAAGUAGCGUGCGGGAUGAAGGCCCUACGGGUCGUAAACCGCUUUUGUACGGGGAUAACACCCUCCACUUGUGGAGGUUUGUAGGUACCGCGCGAAUAAGGGCCGGCUAAUUCCGUGCCAGCAGCCGCGGGAAUACGGAAGGUCCGAGCGUUAUCCGGAUUUAUUGGGGUUAAAGGGAGCGUAGGCCGGCGGUUAAGCAUGCCGUUAAAUGCCGUGGCUCAACCCGGGCCCCGAGGUGAGAACUGGAUGCCUUGAGUUCGCAGCAGGCAGGCGGAAUUCGUGGUGUAGCGGUGAAAUGCAUAGAUAUCACGAAGAACCCCGAUUGCGAAGGCAGCCUGCCGGGGUGCGACUGACGCUGAGGCUCGAAGGUGCGGGUAUCGAACAGGAUUAGAUACCCUUGUAGUC